CAUGCUAUCUAGAUCGUCACCGGUUGGACCAAGCGGCGCAGAUAACCUCACGGAUGACGUCCAUGUUCAUGUAGUGGGCGUCUCUUCAGAGCUGAUAUGACUGCAAGCAUGUGACGUCGAGUCCAAGAUUCCCACAUUCCAAAAGUCUUGCCGAAAAAGGAGUUCAAAUUGUCAAAAGGAUCAUGAAGAAGACAGGUGAGUUGAAGGAGGACUUCUGGUUAGGUAUGCUCGACAACUCAACUGGACAAUGGCCUGCUUCCAGGAGAGCUGCUCCAAGGCAGGAAGUUACGCACUCAGCUGCCAGAUUUCGGACCGUGCCCCAGUGGGCAGAUAUCUAGGCGCAAGCUGUGCCAUCAAGGGUCCUCCUCCAAAGGGAAAACUCUGCCCACCAUAAAGAAGCUAUGGUUAGAGUACGCGGUGAUGUGUGGGCUCUCAAGGCUCUAGUCAGGCGGCUGGAGGCACCGAGGUCGUAUUGUGUCCUUAUAGAAGGCAACAAGAAGCUUCCACGCAACCGACAUCUUCUGGUCACUCGCGAGUCAUCAUGAGUGACGUUGAGGAAGACGAUUCCGAUGUCGAGGACAUUUCUCAGGCUACCAGGUGAGCGUCACAGCCCAUGCAAUCGGCGUCUCGCCGAUCCACCCGACAAAGACGACAACCCAACCGGCUUCAUUAAAACCGGGAUUUCGUCCGAGUGUGUCGUACCUUGUUCACCGAUUUCUAACUGUCGCACCGAGGGAGAUGUAUCGCAUCACUCACACAUGCGCUCUUUGUAUGGGCCCUUCGCCUAGCACGAUCUAUGUACGACAUAGGUAGUCACCUGGAGCGUAUAUAUGUCGUCUUGCGUUCACAAAUAAAACGUGAUUCUUCUUGUUGCUUA
Dermacentor andersoni is the source of this 877-nucleotide non-coding RNA. NCBI's taxonomy places the organism in Eukaryota, Metazoa, Arthropoda, Arachnida, Ixodida, Ixodidae. The record is from RefSeq and is a predicted model, not a curated record.